This 502-nucleotide ribosomal RNA is filed under the name uncultured soil bacterium. RNAcentral describes it as "bacterial SSU rRNA". It matches the Rfam family "Bacterial small subunit ribosomal RNA", at positions 35 to 526 of the family's 1533-position model. The record is from RNAcentral.
GCUAGCGGCAGGCUUAAUACAUGCAAGUCGUGGGGCAGCAGCUCUGUAGCAAUACAGAGGCUGGCGACCGGCAAACGGGUGCGGAACACGUACACAACCUUCCUUUGAGUGGGGAAUAGCCCGGGGAAACCCGGAUUAAUACCCCGUAACAUAAUGAAGUGGCAUCACUUUAUUAUUAUAGCAGCAAUGCGCUUAUAGAUGGGUGUGCGACUGAUUAGGCAGUUGGCGGGGUAACGGCCCACCAAACCUACGAUCAGUAACUGGUGUGAGAGCACGACCAGUCACACGGGCACUGAGACACGGGCCCGACUCCUACGGGAGGCAGCAGUAAGGAAUAUUGGUCAAUGGACGCAAGUCUGAACCAGCCAUGCCGCGUGGAGGAUGAAGGUCCUCUGGAUUGUAAACUUCUUUUAUCUGGGAAGAAAUCCACGAAUUCUUUUGUGGUUGACGGUACCAGACGAAUAAGCACCGGCUAACUCCGUGCCAGCAGCCCCGGUAAUAC